GAGUUUGAUCCUGGCUCAGAACGAACGCUGGCGGCGUGCUUAACACAUGCAAGUCGAACGUGAUCCAGAGCUUGCUCUGGUGAAAGUGGCGCACGGGUGAGUAACGCGUGGAUAACCUGCCCUGGUAUCUGGGAUAACAUCUCGAAAGGGGUGCUAAUACCGGAUAAGCCUACGGGAUCUUCGGAUUCUGCAGGAAAAGGAGGCCUCUAUUUAUAAGCUUCCGUAUCAUGAUGGGUCCGCGUACCAUUAGCUAGUUGGUGGGGUAAUGGCCUACCAAGGCGACGAUGGUUAGCUGGUCUGAGAGGAUGUCCAGCCACACUGGAACUGAGACACGGUCCAGACUCCUACGGGAGGCAGCAGUGGGGAAUUUUGCGCAAUGGGGGAAACCCUGACGCAGCAACGCCGCGUGAGUGAUGAAGGCUUUCGGGUCGUAAAGCUCUGUCAGUGGGGAAGAAAUGGAACGCGCUAAUAUCGCGUUUCCUUGACGGUACCCACAAAGGAAGCACCGGCUAACUCCGUGCCAGCAGCCGCGGUAAUAC
This 539-nucleotide ribosomal RNA is filed under the name uncultured Geobacteraceae bacterium. RNAcentral's name for it is "bacterial SSU rRNA". It matches the Rfam family "Bacterial small subunit ribosomal RNA", at positions 9 to 526 of the family's 1533-position model. The record is from RNAcentral. Lineage: Bacteria; Pseudomonadati; Thermodesulfobacteriota; Desulfuromonadia; Geobacterales; Geobacteraceae.